This 373-nucleotide ribosomal RNA is filed under the name uncultured bacterium. Its description in RNAcentral is "bacterial SSU rRNA". It matches the Rfam family "Bacterial small subunit ribosomal RNA", at positions 524 to 898 of the family's 1533-position model. The record is from RNAcentral.
UACGGAGGAUCCGAGCGUUAUCCGGAUUUAUUGGGUUUAAAGGGUGCGUAGGCUGGUUUUUAAGUCAGCUGUGAAAUACCGACGCUUACCGUCGGCACUGCAGUUGAAACUGGGAACCUUGAGAGUGCAAGAGGCAUGCGGAAUUCAUGGUGUAGCGGUGAAAUGCAUAGAUAUCAUGAAGAACCCCGAUUGCGAAAGCAGCAUGCUGGGGCAUAUCUGACGCUGAGUCACGAAAGUGCGGGUAUCAAACAGGAUUAGAUACCCUGGUAGUCCGCACAGUAAACGAUGAAUACCAGCUGUUGGCGAUAUACAGUCAGCGGCGUAAGCGAAAGCGUUAAGUAUUCCACCUGGGGAGUACGCCGGCAACGGUGAA